GACGAACGCUGGCGGCGUGCUUAACACAUGCAAGUCGAACGGAAAGGCCCUGCUUUUGUGGGGUGCUCGAGUGGCGAACGGGUGAGUAACACGUGAGUAACCUGCCCUUGACUUUGGGAUAACUUCAGGAAACUGGGGCUAAUACCGGAUAGGAGCUCCUGCUGCAUGGUGGGGGUUGGAAAGUUUCGGCGGUUGGGGAUGGACUCGCGGCUUAUCAGCUUGUUGGUGGGGUAGUGGCUUACCAAGGCUUUGACGGGUAGCCGGCCUGAGAGGGUGACCGGCCACAUUGGGACUGAGAUACGGCCCAGACUCCUACGGGAGGCAGCAGUGGGGAAUAUUGCACAAUGGGCGGAAGCCUGAUGCAGCAACGCCGCGUGCGGGAUGACGGCCUUCGGGUUGUAAACCGCUUUCGCCUGUGACGAAGCGUGAGUGACGGUAAUGGGUAAAGAAGCACCGGCUAACUACGUGCCAGCAGCCGCGGUGAUACGUAGGGUGCGAGCGUUGUCCGGAUUUAUUANGCGUAAAGGGCUCGUAGGUGGUUGAUCGCGUCGGAAGUGUAAUCUUGGGGCUUAACCCUGAGCGUGCUUUCGAUACGGGUUGACUUGAGGAAGGUAGGGGAGAAUGGAGUUCCUGGUGGAGCGGUGGAAUGCGCAGAUAUCAGGAGGAACACCAGUGGCGAAGGCGGUUCUCUGGGCCUUUCCUGACGCUGAGGAGCGAAAGCGUGGGGAGCGAACAGGCUUAGAUACCCUGGUAGUCCACGCUGUAAACGGUGGGUACUAGGUGUGGGGUCCAUUCCACGGGUUCCGUGCCGUAGCUAACGCUUUAAGUACCCCGCCUGGGGAGUACGGCCGCAAGGCUAAAACUCAAAGGAAUUGACGGGGCCCCGCACAAGCGGCGGAGCAUGCGGAUUAAUUCGAUGCAACGCGUAGAACCUUACCUGGGUUUGACAUGGAUCGGGAGCGCUCAGAGAUGGGUGUGCCUCUUUUGGGGUCGGUUCACAGGUGGUGCAUGGCUGUCGUCAGCUCGUGUCGUGAGAUGUUGGGUUAAGUCCCGCAACGAGCGCAACCCUUGUUCACUGUUGCCAGCACGUUAUGGUGGGGACUCAGUGGAGACCGCCGGGGUCAACUCGGAGGAAGGUGGGGAUGACGUCAAGUCAUCAUGCCCCUUAUGUCCAGGGCUUCACGCAUGCUACAAUGGCUGGUACAGAGAGUGGCGAGCCUGUGAGGGUGAGCGAAUCUCGGAAAGCCGGUCUCAGUUCGGAUUGGGGUCUGCAACUCGACCUCAUGAAGUCGGAGUCGCUAGUAAUCGCAGAUCAGCAACGCUGCGGUGAAUACGUUCCCGGG
Molecule: ribosomal RNA, 1343 nt
Filed under: uncultured bacterium
Lineage: Bacteria
Description: 16S ribosomal RNA
Rfam family: Bacterial small subunit ribosomal RNA
Source: RNAcentral